AGUAAAAGUCGUAACAAGGUCUCCGUCUGUGAACCUGCGGAGGGAUCAUUACAAGUGACCCCGGUUUACCACCGGGAUGUUCAUAACCCUUUGUUGUCCGACUCUGUUGCCUCCGGGGCGACCCUGCCUUCGGGCGGGGGCUCCGGGUGGACACUUCAAACUCUUGCGUAACUUUGCAGUCUGAGUAAACUUAAUUAAUAAAUUAAAACUUUUAACAACGGAUCUCUUGGUUCUGGCAUCGAUGAAGAACGCAGCGAAAUGCGAUAAGUAAUGUGAAUUGCAGAAUUCAGUGAAUCAUCGAAUCUUUGAACGCACAUUGCGCCCCCUGGCAUUCCGGGGGGCAUGCCUGUUCGAGCGUCAUUUCACCACUCAAGCCUCGCUUGGUAUUGGGCAACGCGGUCCGCCGCGUGCCUCAAAUCGACCGGCUGGGUCUUCUGUCCCCUAAGCGUUGUGGAAACUAUUCGCUAAAGGGUGUUCGGGAGGCUACGCCGUAAAACAACCCCAUUUCUAAGGUUGACCUCGGAUCAGGUAGGGAUACCCGCUGAACUUAAGCAUAUCAAUAAGCGGAGGA
This 571-nucleotide ribosomal RNA is filed under the name uncultured fungus. RNAcentral describes it as "eukaryotic LSU rRNA". The stretch from base 207 to 360 matches the Rfam family "5.8S ribosomal RNA". Lineage: Eukaryota; Fungi. The record is from RNAcentral.